CCGCAUAUAAUAUUUAAUAUCCAAAGCAUGAAAUUUCAAUAAAAUUUCAUAAAAACAAAGUUUUAACAAAAAGUUCUUUGUACAAAUUAUUCUAAAAAUAUAUACUUAGAUGCCACUCCCACGCUUCAUGCAUACUACAAACAAAACAUAUUAUCUCACAAUAGCAGCAGCGCUCCGGUGUAGUCUUUCAGGUAGGUCUUCUUUCAACCAGUAAGCCUGAGAAGUAAAAAGUAACAGAGUAAGUUCGUAUAAACUUAGUGAGUUCCAAAAAUAUCUUAAGUAAGAAUACUAAAUGCACAACUGAACUUUUAAAAAAAAUUCACACAUUAUCACAGAGUAUGCCCAAUGGUGUAUACAGAACUCAGAUAGAUCAAUAAGCCAAUGGCGUACCACAUAGGUGAAUACUAUAUGCCAACUCAACAUAACUCAGAUAAUCCAUUUUCAUGCCAGCAAUGUGCCCAGAUUUCAUAGCCAGAUACAUAAUACAGUCUCAUUAACAUACAUUAUUCACCAUAACUUCUCAUAUCAUUUACACUCAAUAUAACAUGUUUUAUCAUGUUUUGCCAAUCCAGUUUGCAACAUACUUGUCCUAUCGGAGGCUACACAAACAUAUCUCCUCAUCUCUAUCUCUACAUAUCAGUUCACAUCAUAUCAUUCAUUCACAUUAGAAGCAGUUACUAGUGGCUUAAAUAUGAAAAAUGACUCAUACUUCAUAUCAUAGACAUAUUGAACUCAAAUUAACAACUCUGAAUAACCGUUAUUCAUACACAUACAUUUUUCAUCAUUUACAAAGAAAGAAUACUUACCUUAUACAAAUAUUCAUACACAUACAUUUUUCAUCAUUUACAAAGAAAGAAUACUUACCUUAUACAAAUAUAAAAUAAAAAAGACCACAACACAUGAAAGUCAGAAGGAACUCACUAGAAAUUAUAGUAAAGUCUAUAAAGCAUGUCCUUUGCCUUUAUCACUUGGGCCUUUAGUAGCUUCUUGAUCUAAAAAUGAUGAUAAUUAAACAUAUCAUAUCACUAGUCUAUCAAAUCUAAACAUGCAUGCAAGAAUCAUCAACACUUAAUCCAGAAUCAUGAAGUUUCCUUCCUUACACACCAUUCUAACAUUUAUGCAUGUAGAACUAAAAACACGUAAAUAACUUUGAAGAUAACCUAGGGUUCAUCAUUAAUUACUAGUGAGCUGAUACAAAUGUAUAAGUUAGCUGAAUACAACGAACCCAACUUCGAAGAGGUUUUUUGGACUAAAUUUUUCAAAGAGUUCAAAGAAAAUCAAGAAGAAAGAAGAAAACAAAGAAUACGCAAAGGUUUUUAGAGCAGUCAUCGCUAUCCUUAUACACUUAAGCACGGAGACAAGGUUUAGUGGAAGAAUCAUAUAAUUCCAUUAACACUCUUGGUUCUCGUGAUUAAGUGCGCUUAUAAUAAUUUAAGUCUUUUCAUCUACAGUAACUUAGUUCUAUUCUAAAUAAAUCCCAACUUAACUAACUAAAUUACCUUACUAAAAUAAUAAACAAAUCUAAUUAACUAUAAAUUUGACUAGUUUGCCAAAAAAUCUGAGGUGGCGUAUGCUUAACAAAAGAGUUCGCCAACCAUAGAUCUCGCCAAAGCAAAGAGUUCGCCAAUUGGCAUAACACUCAAAACUCUAUACUUAUCCAAAACAAACACUUAUUCUUAUCUACCCUUCUAUUACCAACUAUAUGUCAAACAAAUAGUACUCACAUACAAAAACUUUGUCGGGCGAGUUGUUACAUAUAAGGUUUUACUUUGGAAGUACAAGAAUGCAAUAAUAAUUCAGGGAAAAUAUGGUAGCACUGAGGCGAUACUAGGACAAGCUAAAAAUCUCGCCAUUCACAUAAGCAGCAAUAACAAAGUUGAAAGAUGAAUCAUCUAGAAUUAUUGCCAUCAAAUGGAAGGCACCUUGCUAUGGUUGGCUAAAGAUCAAUUCAGAUGGAGCUACUGUAGUGAGUGGAAACUGGUCAGCAAUAGGUGGCGUUUUACGUGACUCGCAUGGUAAUUGGUUAGCAGGCUUUCAUCGAUUCAUCGGGAGAGGUUAUGCUCUAAUGGCUAAAUUAUGGGCGAUCCUCCAUGGCCUUGAAAUAGCUUCGCAGAAGGGGUACACCAAGGUGAUAAUUGAAUCUAACAAUAAAAGUGUAGUGGAUAUGCUAACAAAUGCUUCAGUAGGGUCAUCAUCAACAACUUUAGUCCAAAGAAUAAAGGAGGAAUGUAGGCGCAAUUGGACUGUCAAAAUCCAACAUGUCUUCCGUGAAGCAAAAAAAAUGGUUGAUUACACAACCAAGUCUUGAUCUAAAAAUAAAUAUGAAUCGAAAAUUAUUGAUUCCCCCAUGUUUGGUAUUAGGCAACUCCUUUUAGUGGAUAAAAUGGGGGACUUUUAUGUAAGAAAGAUUAAAGAGAGAGAGAGAGGGGGAGGGGGAGG
Molecule: long non-coding RNA, 2439 nt
Filed under: Gossypium raimondii (Peruvian cotton)
Lineage: Eukaryota; Viridiplantae; Streptophyta; Magnoliopsida; Malvales; Malvaceae
Description: long non-coding RNA (GRAI_LNC009714)
Source: RNAcentral